CCGGAAAAACAUGGCGGAUUUUCAUGUUUGCUGACGCCAAUUGGUUCCUCCGGCUCAUGGCAAUUACCACUGACCAACCGCGAUCCUACGCUUGAAGUAAAAUCCUUCACCCCCCUGGUUUUCGGCCUUUUCUCGCCUUGCUUUGCUUGUUUAUUUUGAACAACAUCGACAGAGAAAAUUUCAAAAAUGCCUUCUUGCUGUAUUUUUGGUUGUCAUUAUUCCUUAUCUAAGAAGAAUAUUUCUUCUCACCGGUAAGAUUUUAUGAAACUCUUUUUCUGUUCUUUAUUCAUUUGAAAUAUUGCAUUUUUUUGAACAAGAAUUUUGGAUACAAUUUAACAUUUAAAUAUAGAUUUGAAAAACUGCAGCUGAUAUUUAUUUGUUUUUCAUUUAGUAUUAACACCCCUUUGUGUUUCAUGUUAUAUAAUUUACACUUUGUAGUUUUUUAAUAGUCUGUAAAGGCUUAUUAAUAGUAAUAUAAUUUAAAUAAUUUUCAUAUAAAUUUUACAAAUCAGGAAAUCCGAAAUGGAGCUAGUCAAAACCUUUAUGCUCUUUUGUAAUAGACAUCACUUGGUGCAUUUGUCUGAUGAAACCAAAAUUUACUGAAUAUUCGCUGUAGUUAUAGAGAUUUUUGAGAUGUAUAAUAUUAUAUGGUAGUUACGUUAGUUUACAAAAAAGCAAAUAAGUUUUAAGAAUUUAAUAAAGUACUUAAUAUGUAUAUGCAAGAAAGCUGUGACAUGUAAAACUAUAAAUAAUAUGAGCACUACAAAUUUAGUGACCAUAUAUUUUUAAAUUAAUUUACUUAACAGCUUUCCAGAUGCCAAAAGAAACCCCGAGAUGUAUGCCACUUGGGUAGCAAUUGUGAACAGGAAUGCACCAGUGAAGUUUGCCCCCACAAAAGGAAGUCGUGUGUGUUCCAAGCAUUUUAGCUUGGACAUGAUAGAAGAGGGUGGAGAAAGAGUGAUUUUAAAGCCGGAUGCAUUCCCAACAAUUUUCCCAAAUUCUGAGGUUUGUGCUAAUUUUUCCAUCUUUUUGAAGUUUGAUGUCCUGACA
Molecule: non-coding RNA, 1050 nt
Organism: Paramuricea clavata
Lineage: Eukaryota; Metazoa; Cnidaria; Anthozoa; Malacalcyonacea; Plexauridae
Source: the annotation of a GenBank genome assembly